CACGUAGGGGCCAAGCGUUGUCCGGAUUUAUUGGGCGUAAAGAGCUCGUAGGCGGCUCGGUAAGUCGGGUGUGAAACCUCCAGGCUCAACCUGGAGACGCCACCCGAUACUGCUGUGGCUAGAGUCCGGUAGGGGAGCGUGGAAUUCCUGGUGUAGCGGUGAAAUGCGCAGAUAUCAGGAGGAACACCAGCGGCGAAGGCGGCGCUCUGGGCCGGAACUGACGCUGAGGAGCGAAAGCGUGGGGAGCAAACAGG
This 254-nucleotide ribosomal RNA is filed under the name uncultured bacterium. RNAcentral's name for it is "partial 16S ribosomal RNA". It matches the Rfam family "Bacterial small subunit ribosomal RNA", at positions 524 to 776 of the family's 1533-position model. The record is from RNAcentral.